UCUCCUACGGGGGGCAGCAGUAGGGAAUCUUCCACAAUGGACGAAAGUCUGAUGGAGCAACGCCGCGUGAGUGAAGAAGGGUUUCGGCUCGUAAAGCUCUGUUGGUAGUGAAGAAAGAUAGAGGUAGUAACUGGCCUUUAUUUGACGGUAAUUACUUAGAAAGUCACGGCUAACUACGUGCCAGCAGCCGCGGUAAUACGUAGGUGGCAAGCGUUGUCCGGAUUUAUUGGGUGUAAAGCGAGUGCAGGCGGG
Molecule: ribosomal RNA, 252 nt
Filed under: uncultured bacterium
Lineage: Bacteria
Description: partial 16S ribosomal RNA
Rfam family: Bacterial small subunit ribosomal RNA
Source: RNAcentral